This 579-nucleotide ribosomal RNA is filed under the name Bloxamia discedens. RNAcentral describes it as "eukaryotic LSU rRNA". The stretch from base 227 to 380 matches the Rfam family "5.8S ribosomal RNA". Lineage: Eukaryota; Fungi; Ascomycota; Leotiomycetes; Helotiales; Bloxamiaceae. The record is from RNAcentral.
UUGGUCAUUUAGAGGAAGUAAAAGUCGUAACAAGGUUUCCGUAGGUGAACCUGCGGAAGGAUCAUUACAGAGUUCAUGCCCCUCGGGGUAGACCUCCCACCCUAUGUAUACCUUACCUUUGUUGCUUUGGCGGGCCGCCAUUGGCCACCGGCUCCGGUCGGUGCGCGCCCGCCAGAGAACCCAAACUCUGUUUUAUCAUGUUGUCUGAGCACUAUUUAAUAGUUAAAACUUUCAACAACGGAUCUCUUGGUUCUGGCAUCGAUGAAGAACGCAGCGAAAUGCGAUAAUUAAUGUGAAUUGCAGAAUUUAGUGAAUCAUCGAAUCUUUGAACGCACAUUGCGCCCCUUGGUAUUCCGGGGGGCAUGCCUGUUCGAGCGUCAUUUCAACCCUCAAGCACUGCUUGGUCUUGGGCCACGCCGGCGACGGCGGGUCUUAAACGUAGUGGCGGCACCAUCGGUUCCCUCAGUGUAGUAAUAUCUCUCGCUGUUGGGCCCUGGUGGUCGCUGGCCAGCAACCCUUUAUUUUUUCUGGUUGACCUCGGAUCAGGUAGGGAUACCCGCUGAACUUAAGCAUAUCAAU